CCCUUAGAUGUUCUGGGCCGCACGCGUGCUACACUGAACGGUUCAAUGGGUAAGGUAGUGCGAAAGCAUGACCUAAUCUCGAAAUCCGUUCGUGCUGGGGAUAGAAGCUUGCAAUUAUCCUUCUUGAACGAGGAAUACCUUGUAAGCGUGAGUCAUCAUCUCACGCUGAAUACGUCCCUGCCCUUUGUACACACCGCCCGUCGCUCCUACCGAUUGAGUGUUCCGGUGAGGCUUUGGGAGAAUGGCCUCAACAUGAGUUUAUCGUGUGUUGCCGUUUGAACUUAGUCAAACCUUAUCACUUAGAGGAAGGAGAAGUCGUAACA
Molecule: ribosomal RNA, 323 nt
Filed under: uncultured eukaryote
Lineage: Eukaryota
Description: partial 18S ribosomal RNA
Rfam family: Eukaryotic small subunit ribosomal RNA
Source: RNAcentral